CCCUUAGACGUUCUGGGCCGCACGCGCGCUACACUGACCAGUGCAACAAGCAUCCGUCCUUGGCCGACAGGCUCGGGCAAUCUUUGAACGCUGGUCGUGAUGGGGAUAGACUUUUGCAAUUUUUGGUCUUCAACGAGGAAUUCCUAGUAAACGCAAGUCAUCAACUUGCAUUGAUUACGUCCCAGCCCUUUGUACACACCGCCCGUCGCACCUACCGAUUGAAUGGUCCGGUGAAGCCUCCGGAUUGGCGCGCACCUCGGUGCCGCCGAGAAGUUGGCUAAACCUUACCAUUUAGAGGAAGGUGAAGUCGUAACA
This 315-nucleotide ribosomal RNA is filed under the name uncultured eukaryote. RNAcentral describes it as "partial 18S ribosomal RNA". It matches the Rfam family "Eukaryotic small subunit ribosomal RNA", at positions 1470 to 1796 of the family's 1831-position model. The record is from RNAcentral.